RNAcentral lists this ribosomal RNA (447 nucleotides) under endosymbiont of Alviniconcha sp. RNAcentral describes it as "bacterial SSU rRNA". It matches the Rfam family "Bacterial small subunit ribosomal RNA", at positions 1054 to 1501 of the family's 1533-position model. The record is from RNAcentral.
GUCAGCUCGUGUCGUGAGAUGUUGGGUUAAGUCCCGCAACGAGCGCAACCCUCGUCCUUAGUUGCUAGCAGUUCGGCUGAGCACUCUAAGGAGACUGCCUUCGCAAGGAGGAGGAAGGUGAGGACGACGUCAAGUCAUCAUGGCCCUUAUGGCUAGGGCUACACACGUGCUACAAUGGGGCGUACAGAGUGUUGCGAUACCGCGAGGUGGAGCUAAUCACUUAAAGCGUCUCUCAGUUCGGAUUGGAGUCUGCAACUCGACUCCAUGAAGCUGGAAUCACUAGUAAUCGUAGAUCAGCAAUGCUACGGUGAAUACGUUCCCGGGUCUUGUACUCACCGCCCGUCACACCAUGGGAGUUGAUUUCACCCGAAAUCGGGAAGCCAACCUUCGGGGGGCUACCGCUUACGGUGGAAUUAGCGACUGGGGUGAAGUCGUAACAAGGUAACC